RNA transcript from Planococcus citri (citrus mealybug), 1503 nucleotides. RefSeq lists it as uncharacterized. The transcript has 2 exons. The record is from RefSeq and is a predicted model, not a curated record. NCBI's taxonomy places the organism in Eukaryota, Metazoa, Arthropoda, Insecta, Hemiptera, Pseudococcidae.
CACAGCGGUGAAAUGAAGUAGGUACUCAUAUAUAAAUUAAGCAAGCGAAGUUCAUUGUGAAUAGUGUGGUUUAUGCUGACAUCGCAGUUAGGUAGUUCAAGUCUCAAAACGGUUUCAAGAUGAAACUAGCUUAUAUAUAUGGAUUGAUAGGUUUCGUGAUAUUCGCGCUGAGUUCCGAAGUAAAUUCGGGCUUACCAGGAGAUCGUCUAUUAGAUGGAAUUGGAGCUGGAGGAUCCAAAGACUCGUCGUCUUCGUCAGGAUCCAAAGACUCGGCGUCUUUUUCAGGAACCGAUAACGCGACAGAAACCACCGAAGACCCGGCAUCUUCGUCAGGAUCUGAAGACCAGUCAAGUUCCGAAGAAGAUCCGACAGACUCCGACGAAGAGGGGCCGUCGGCUUCCGCAGAACCCCCGUUAGAACCCGAAGAUCUGGUGUCUUCAUCAGGAUCCAAAGACCCGUCAGAAUCCGAGGACUCGUCGCCUUCGUCAGGAUCCGAUGGCGAACCCGACUCUUGGGACAUCUUUACAUGGUUUUUUGGAAAUUCCGAUGGUGAUAAGUAGGGCAACCCAAAAUAUGCUCUCAUUCGAGGUAAAAUCUUGAAUAGGUAGGUAUUAUAUUCGAUUUUUUGGAAUAAAAUAUUGCCGAAAUAUUCGAAUACCCUAAAAAUAUUCGAAUUCAAAAUGGGUAUCGUUUCACUUGUCUUGGCAUGCACAUUACAAAAAUGGUUAUAUCGUUGGGUUUUGUUUCCUAAAUUACACACACUAUUCGCAAAAUACAACAAAAUUGUUGAAUUUGAUUUUAAAUUCUAUUUUAAUCGUCAAAAAAAGAAACAACAUCGAAGCUUUUAAUCUAUAACUGAAUCUUCAUCAUCAUUCCAUCAAUCAUUUCAUCAUCAUCAAAAACAUCCAUUUUUUUCAUUUUCAACAUAGGUACUGUGAAAAUAACGUUUACUGUGUUGCGAUUCUCAAAAUGGAAAAAUUUCCAAAAAAUUCAAAAAUUUUCGAUAAAUUGUGAAAUAUGUGGUAAUUUUUGACGAAAAUAUUUAAAUGCAAUCGAACAUGUGAAAAUAUGCAUUUUAAGGCAAAAUAUUCGAAAAUUCGAAAUGUAGUUGGGCUUAUUUGAAAUGAAAUUUUCUGAAACAUGAAAUGAUUUCGUUACAUUUGUAAUCGGAGUGUUAAAAAAAAACAUUCAAAAAAAUAUAUCGGGUUACCCUAAUGCUAAGAGCGGACAAUAAAGUGACAGUGAUGAACCAAAAGGAGGAAAAAUUCAAAUCAUUUUCAUCUCAAAAAUACUCUUGAAUUUCAAGCCAUUGCUCAUCAAUGCAGUUCAAUUCCUUCAUGUCAUUCUCGCACCAAUAUCAUUGGACACGCUGAAGAUAUCUACCUUAUUCGUAUUACAAACUGUAUAUUUAGAUAUGUUGUAGGUAAUGUUAUCAAUAAUACAUACGUAGACCUAAUCAUAAAACCCAUUAUAAUAUUGUAAUUACACGACAGUGAAAUAAUG